AUGGUCUUGCUGGAGCCUCGCUUGCAGUCGAAAGUCAUCAGCUUCAGGGAGUGUCGGCACAGCCAGAAUAGACGCCACCUUCAGUGGGGAGCAACAGCAGCAACUGCGAGGAUUUGGCUCGCCGAUACGAGCAACGGUGGCGCCAUACCCCCUUCCGCAGCUCCGAGCUGCUGGUCCGCCGAGAUGCAGAUGGAGCCGACGAGCCGUUGCGCCUCCAAGCUACCGGGCCACCGAGAUGCAGAUGUAGUCGCGGCCCCUCUGAGCUGCAGCGAGAGCUGCUCCGCCGCCAAGCUGCAGCGCCAACUAUUGUGCUCAUCCAACAUAGUGAAAUAUUUUCAGGUCAACUACACUGAAAGCAAACUAAAAGAUUACAUUGACCCAGAUUAUGAUACACUCAGGCUUGCAAACAAUGAUCUACACGCCAAUUAUCGCAUCAUGCUAGGAAAUGACAAGAGACCCACCAUGACAACCAACUGGUCUGAGUUCCGCCGCUUUGCAAAAAUCCAUGAAGGAGACAUAUGUGCCUUUUGUUUCAAGGUCACCACAAAGCGGCGACUAGCUCUCAUCGUGCAUUGCCUUUAG
This 582-nucleotide ribosomal RNA is filed under the name Triticum aestivum (bread wheat). RNAcentral describes it as "partial small subunit ribosomal RNA". The record is from RNAcentral. Lineage: Eukaryota; Viridiplantae; Streptophyta; Magnoliopsida; Poales; Poaceae.